GACGAACGCUGGCGGCGUGCCUAAUACAUGCAAGUCGAGCGCAGGAAGCCAUCUGAACCCUUCGGGGGGACGACGGUGGAAUGAGCGGCGGACGGGUGAGUAACACGUAAAGAACCUGCCCAUAGGUCUGGGAUAACCACGAGAAAUCGGGGCUAAUACCGGAUGUGUCAUCGGACCGCAUGUCCGCUGAUGAAAGGCGCUCCGGCGUCGCCCAUGGAUGGCUUUGCGGUGCAUUAGCUAGUUGGUGGGGUAACGGCCCACCAAGGCGACGAUGCAUAGCCGACCUGAGAGGGUGAUCGGCCACACUGGGACUGAGAGACGGCCCAGACUCCUACGGGAGGCAGCAGUAGGGAAUCUUCCACAAUGGACGAAAGUCUGAUGGAGCAACGCGGCGUGAACGAUGAAGGCUUUCGGGUCGUAAAGUUCUGUUGUAAGGGAAGAACAAGUGCCGCAGGCAAUGGCGGCACCUUGACGGUACCUUGCGAGAAAGCCACGGCUAACUACGUGCCAGCCGCCGCGGUAA
Molecule: ribosomal RNA, 523 nt
Filed under: uncultured bacterium
Lineage: Bacteria
Description: partial 16S ribosomal RNA
Rfam family: Bacterial small subunit ribosomal RNA
Source: RNAcentral